This 1181-nucleotide long non-coding RNA is filed under the name Struthio camelus australis. RNAcentral describes it as "lncRNA (ENSSCUG00000012124.1)". The record is from RNAcentral. Lineage: Eukaryota; Metazoa; Chordata; Aves; Struthioniformes; Struthionidae.
CACACGCGAAAGAAAGCUGAGCUUGGUCAGAGGAACGUCAGUCAGAAAAUACCCACUUGAUUAUCACUGCCAGCUUCACAGUGACCUUCAGUAUGGCCCGCGUGGCAAAAUGAAAUAUGAAAAUGACGCUGCCAGAGGGAAAGCUCAUUCAUUCAUCCUGGCUUGGGAAGAUCGGCUCGAGUUUGUUGGAUCCUAAACCAACAUGUUGGAUCCUAAACCAAACACAAUGUGUGAUGCCAUGGUUUUGCUGAAAGGUUAUUCCUUGUUCUCCACAGCAGAGCAUCACGUCAGACAUGCCAAGGAGCCUUGUCCGUUCAACGGAGAGAGUUGGCUAUUUCCCUUGAGCCAGCUGAAUUGCUCUAGGAAUGCCCUGGAUUCUCAGCAGUGACUACAUGGACAUCUAAAACACUUAAGAUGGGUGCAGUAAAAUAUCCUGCCAGGCUCUCUUACCUAAGCAUGUAAAAGGUAUAGGUCAUGCGAAUCGAUCUUCCAGGUCUGGCCCUCAGCCUACAUCCAGUAUAACCAUAAUGGUCCUACACAUGUUCCCACCCAGCUUUUGUGUGGUUCUUCCUGUAUGGGGAAUGUGCUGUAUCUUUGGCCCCAAAGUGUGUCCAAGUGAGCAGCACUGAUACUCUGGGUCGAUUUUUGAAGAUAAGAUGAAGCUGUGACAUUCAGAACCUGUUGAAUGAAGGACUACUGGUUUAGAGCAAGAAAUGCUGGGGAAUCCUGUCUGUUUUCUUGCCACGUUUGCAAGCAAGGAGUGGAGUGAGUCAUCUUCUGGGAUAGAUCCACCCUCCCACUGCCAAUCAGCAUCACUAGAGAGCGGCCUGAAACGACUGGGCUAGGUGGCAGAAUUACUGGAGGACUGACAUGUCACUACCCGAAACCCUUCUGGAUCGUCUUUGCCACAGAGGAUGCCCGAGGCAGACAGGGACUCGGUUUUUUGGAAUAUCCUCAUCCUUGGUGCUGGGAAAGAACGGAGUCCAAUCGAAAUGGUAAGACUCUGCAGACCUUCAGCAAGCCAGGCAACGUUUCUCAGCUAGUUAACGAUGACAUGCUAGGGCAGGAGCGUGUACGUGGGAUACUUCUAUUGUACGGUUAUCUAAGAUGUCUUAUGUAAUUAUAAUGUAAUUCAUCAAGCCAAUUUUAGCCAGCUAAACCUGAGAUGCCCAGUCUCAGCU